Molecule: ribosomal RNA, 505 nt
Filed under: uncultured bacterium
Lineage: Bacteria
Description: partial 16S ribosomal RNA
Rfam family: Bacterial small subunit ribosomal RNA
Source: RNAcentral
AGUGAACGCUGGCGGUAGGCCUAACACAUGCAAGUCGAACGGCAGCACAGGAGAGCUUGCUCUCUGGGUGGCGAGUGGCGGACGGGUGAGGAAUACAUCGGAAUCUACUCUGUCGUGGGGGAUAACGUAGGGAAACUUACGCUAAUACCGCAUACGACCUACGGGUGAAAGAAGUGGACCUUCGGGCCUUGCGCGAUUGAAUGAUCGGAUGUCGGAUUCGCUAGUUGGCGGGGUAAAGGCCCACCAAGGCGACGAUCCGGAGCUGGUCUGAGAGGAUGAUCAGCCACGCUGGAACUGAGACACGGGCCAGACUCCUACGGGAGGCAGCAGUUGGGACUAUUGGACAAUGGGCGCAAGCCUGAUCCAGCCAUACCGCGUGGGUGAAGAAGGCCUUCGGGUUGUAAAGCCCUUUGUUGGGAAAGAAAUCCAGCUCGCUAAUACCCGGUUGGGAUGACGGUACCCAAAGAAUAAGCACCGGCUAACUUCGUGCCAGCAGCCGCCGCAG